This is a long non-coding RNA of Asparagus officinalis (garden asparagus), 672 nucleotides long. RefSeq lists it as uncharacterized. NCBI's taxonomy places the organism in Eukaryota, Viridiplantae, Streptophyta, Magnoliopsida, Asparagales, Asparagaceae. The transcript is spliced from 3 exons. The record is from RefSeq and is a predicted model, not a curated record.
GAAAUAUCUCCCUCUCAACUGUCAAAGACUUUUGGCCCUGACCGCUUAACGAAAUCCAUAAAAUUUUCCGCUCCCAAAAAUCGCCAUGGCCAAAAUUUUCCGCUCCCUAAAAUCGCCGUGGCCAAGAUCAACAUAUAAUCAUCGAUCUCAUCACUGAAUCUCAUCUCCCCUCUCUUCACAUGGAUUUCGAUUUCGAAAACCCUAGAAUUCUUCUUCGAGCCCAUGAGCAAGGUCGAUUUGAUACAAGGGAAGCCCUAGCGAUCCUCUCAACGUCGAUCUUCAUCCAAUCUCAAAUUGCAAUUGAGGAGAAGGAAUCCAUACUGGGAAGCAUACCAGAAGAUUUUAAGGAAAGGGGUUCACUGUUGUAUACUACUCUAAUAGAUGGGAAGAAAUGACGAAAGCCAAGAUUGAGAUUGAUACCGACAGGUUCCUAGUGAGUAUUUGACAUUGAAGCACAAGUUUUUCGAAACAAAUAGAGAAUAUAAAGUCUUUGACCGAGAAGUUUCAUGUUUUGUAAUCAAAUGUUGAUGUUGUUUGAAUGUUAGUUCUGUACGAUAUUUUCUGAGUUGAAAUGUUGGUAGUGUGGAUUUAAUACUUUGUAGUUUUUGUACUAUACUGAUGAAUUUUGGCACUUAUCAUUAUGGUUGAUUAUGCUCAACAUUUUUAAUUUGA